CAGUCGCCGCGGUAAUACGGAGGGGGCUAGCGUUGUUCGGAAUUACUGGGCGUAAAGCGCACGUAGGCGGCUUGGUAAGUUAGAGGUGAAAGCCCGGAGCUCAACUCCGGAAUUGCCUUUAAGACUGCCGAGCUAGUAGGUGAGAGAGGUAAGUGGAAUUCCGAGUGUAGAGGUGAAAUUCGUAGAUAUUCGGAAGAACACCAGUGGCGAAGGCGGCUUACUGGCUCAUUCUAGACGCUGAGGUGCGAAAGCGUGGGGAGCAAACAGGAUUAGAUACCCCGGUAGUCCCUGUCUCUUAUAC
Molecule: ribosomal RNA, 301 nt
Filed under: uncultured bacterium
Lineage: Bacteria
Description: partial 16S ribosomal RNA
Rfam family: Bacterial small subunit ribosomal RNA
Source: RNAcentral